CCUACGGGUGGCAGCAGUAGGGGAUAUUGCUCAAUGGGGGAAACCCUGAAGCAGCAACGCCGCGUGGAGGAUGAAGGUUUUCGGAUUGUAAACUCCUUUUGUUAGAGAAGAUAAUGACGGUAUCUAACGAAUAAGCACCGGCUAACUCCGUGCCAGCAGCCGCGGUAAUACGGAGGGUGCAAGCGUUACCCGGAAUUACUGGGCGUAAAGAGCGCGUAGGCGGGAUAGCAAGUCAGAUGUGAAAUCCUAUGGCUUAACCAUAGAACUGCAUUUGAAACUGUUAUUCUAGAGUAUUGGAGAGGUAGGUGGAAUUCUUGGUGUAGGGGUAAAAUGCGUAGAGAUCAAGAGGAAUACUCAUUGCGAAGGCGACCUGCUAGAACAUAACUGACGCUGAUGCGCGAAAGCGUGGGGAGCAAACAGGAUUAGAUACCCGAGUAGUC
This 440-nucleotide ribosomal RNA is filed under the name uncultured bacterium. RNAcentral's name for it is "partial 16S ribosomal RNA". It matches the Rfam family "Bacterial small subunit ribosomal RNA", at positions 338 to 795 of the family's 1533-position model. The record is from RNAcentral.